GAUUUGUUAAACAGGCACAUGGUAAUGGGUUUCUAUAAGGAGAUCCACAGACUCAUGGUUCUGGAAAAGAAGGGAGCUGGUGAGAUGACUGUGACUUUUCCUCGCUUGGAGCUUCCAGGAGUGUGAGUUCACCUCUGACUAUGGCGCCGUGACCCACAAUGAGGAAGAGCGUAUCUAUAGGGUCAAAACUCUAGAGCUUGAAGGGUCAACAGAAGCCAAACCCCUCAUUUAACAUCUGAGCAAUUGAGUUCCUGACAAGUCUGAUGACUUGUCCAAGGUCACAUAGGAAGGAGAGGCAGAGCUAGUAUUCAACAUAAGUGAGUUCAAGACUGUCCACUCUCGUGAGCCAUUUUGCCUAUGAGGGGUGUUUAUUCUCCCUCAGAAGAACUUUAGGUAUAGGGAUUUGUACCCCCAAAUCCCAAUUUCCCUUCAUAACUCAACAUGGAUUUGUCAUAUAUAUAUUACACAUAUGGAUUUCCAAAUCUGCCUUGACCUUUCCCCAAAAGUGUUAGAAUUUUCUCCA
This 523-nucleotide long non-coding RNA is filed under the name Monodelphis domestica (gray short-tailed opossum). RNAcentral's name for it is "lncRNA (ENSMODG00000034548.2)". Lineage: Eukaryota; Metazoa; Chordata; Mammalia; Didelphimorphia; Didelphidae. The record is from RNAcentral.